Molecule: long non-coding RNA, 3379 nt
Organism: Cornus florida
Lineage: Eukaryota; Viridiplantae; Streptophyta; Magnoliopsida; Cornales; Cornaceae
Exons: 4
Source: RefSeq, a predicted model, not a curated record
ACACUUUCAGAGAACCAGAGAGAGAGAGAGAGAGUGUGUGCGCGAUAGAGAGAGAAAAUCGAAUCACGGCAAAUCUCUGAAGCUCCACACUUUACAGGCAAGUACUCAUUUCUACACUCUUUGCUUUGAUUGAAAGCAUAUUAUAUAUAUAAUACACCACUGUGUUUGUUCAAGAAAUGACUAUAUAAAUCUGCAAAAGUCUCAUCUCUCUCUCUCUCAAGAACUUUCCACAUCCCAACAAGACUUGAAUCUCUGUUCUCUCUCUCGGCUUCUUCUCCUCCUCACCAAAAAGCCCCAUUAUGGUGGCCGAUUACUUGCUUGAUAGACUCAAAAAUUUUCCUGAAACUGCUUCGAAAGUCUCUUCCGUAAAAUGUGAAAAGGCCUGAAGAAACCGAUUAAAGUAGGUUUUCUGGAGCAACACGCUCCUCAAGUUUUACUGCAAAAUUGAGCGCUCCAUCAAACCCAAAAUCAAGCUUUUUCAGGACUGGGUUUUUCUUCUAGCGAUGUCGUGAAAACUGUUUUGUCUGACCCACAUAUUCUAACUAGUUGCUUGUAUAAUCGGCUUGGCCCGACGAAUUUAGCAUUGAAGAGUAUUUUUGGUUCAAGUAUGGAAGUGUAUAGGGUUUUGAAGAAAUCUGCGAGGAUUUUGAGGUAUGAUUUGGCCAAUACUAUGAUACCCAAUAUUGAAUUUAUGAAGAGUUGUGGAAACCUAUCUAAUUAAGACAACUAAAAUCAACUAAAAUCACGUUCCUCUUCGUUCCAUAAUCCUUCAUUCCUUCUCUCCCAAGUAACUGUACUAAAUUUAUCACCGCCACUAGUGACUUAAUUCCUAAACCUAUUUCUAUAUAUAGCCCUCUAUUAUCAGCGCCUCAGCCCUCUUUUUCAGCCCUAUUAUCAGCGCCUAAUAGCACAAAUAUGUUGUCCAUGCCUCUAGGGUUUGGUUCGCCCCCACAUAAGAACUCCUCACCCACUUUCUCAGAAGAAAAGUGAAGCAAAAAUCGUUGCCGGAUAUGUGACUUGGGAUGGCCAAAACAAGCUUGAGGAAAUUUAUAAUGGGCAGAAACAACUUAGAUGUUGGGUUUUGAAUCAUAUGUCAAGAAAGAUGAGUAGUCGAUCAUGCCAAGAGGUCAUUGGAUUAUGCAUGAGUAUUCGCUGGGCAAUGUGAGCUUAGAUAGGCUAGAAGAAGGUACUGAUCAUCAAGAUUAUGUGGCUUGUAAGAUCAAAAGAGAUAUUCUAAAUAUCUGAGGAGUGCACCAAAGCAUGUUCGUGAGCUAUCCAAAGAAGAAAACCCUAGUUGGAAGAAGAUGAAGAUGGGAUAUGAUCAUGAUGAGGCCUUUACAAAUACUCCACAAAAGACUUUGACUCUAAAGGAUCCUCAUGAGUUGCUUUCAACGCCGCCGUGUUCAUCAUUUGAUGAUGCAACUACUACUGCAACGUCUUUCGAUUUUCAGCCUCUGCUAGCAUAUUAUGAUGAGACUGCAAGACUUUUUGAUCUGCCUAACAUCACAAUCAACUCUUGUGGUACAAUACAAGGCCUGCAACAGAUAGACUCAUUUUUUGACAACUUUGAUGCAGCUACUACUGCAACCUCCAUUGUUCAAUAUUCAGCCGCUGCUACCACAUGAUUAUUUGCCGAAUUCGGUAGAAAAGGAACUGACAAACCAAGAUGUGGUGGUGGUUCCAGAUAAGAAAUCCGGUGGCAGCAGUGGCAUGACGAUAACGGUGACUGUGUCCAACUCCACCCUGUUCUCAUUGGUGGUUCCGAAACCGCCAAGUGGGUACUUCACCAUUUCUAGGAAAAAGCUGUUGAAGAAGGUUGAAAUUGAAACUGGUGCCGGAGCUAAAAUCAAUGCAUGGGUUGACAAAAUGUGAGCCUCUUCUCCAACUCAUAGAUCAUCCCCAGCUUCUACUGAUCAAGACGCGAACUCUUGGAUUCUUCUCAUCCCUCAGCGUUAACCAUGUUCGAGCAGCUAACAAAUGCUUCGAAGGGGAAGCAAAUAGUGAUGUUCUUGGAUUAUGAUGGUACCCUCUAGCUGAUUGUGGAAGAUCCGGACCGAGCUUUAAUGCCCAAUGAGGUUUAUAACUUUGUGAGUUUAUCAGAGCUGAACUCUUCUUAUACAAUAUUAGCAGAAGACUCGUUUUCAGAGGACAUUGAUCUAGAAACGCAGGAACAACUCGUUUUCGCAGGAGCAUUGAGUUGUUCCUGCGUUUUUGGAUCAAUGUCCACUGAAAACGGUCUUCUAUUGAUAUUGUAUAAGUAGAGUUCAUUAAUGUGAUGUUGGGUAGAUCAAAGAGCCUUGCAGUCUCAUCCUAAUAUGCUGGCUGAGGCUGAAAAUCGGAAAACGGUGCAGUAAUGGUUGCAUCAUCAAAUAAUAAGCACGGCGGCGUUGGAAGCAACUCAUGAUGAUCCUUUAGAGUCAGUGUCUUUUAUGGAGUACUUGUAGAGGCCUCAUUAUGAUCAUAUCCCAUCUUUUUCUUCUUCUUCUUCCGAUUAGGGUUUUCUUCUUUGGAUACCUCAUGAACAUGUUUUGGAGAGCAAUGCUUUGGUGCUCUCCUUAGAUAUUUAGAAUCAUCUCUUUUGAUCUUGCAAACAACAUAAUCUUGAUGAUCAGUACCUUCUUCUAGCCCAUCCAAACUCACAUCGCCUAACGAAUACUCAUGCAUAAUCCAAUGACCUCUUGGCAUGAUCGACCACUCAUCUUUCUUGACAUAUGCUUCAAAAGUGUUUCUGUCCGUUACAAAUUUCCUCAGGCUUGUUUUCGCCAUCCCAAGUCCCACAUCUGGCUCUCAGAACAAUUCUCUUCUUCUUACCGCCAAUUUUCUUUAACUGGGUGAAGACGUAAAUAACAAAUUCCUUGGUCUUCAAUGAAUGCUAUGGAUCUGCCGCCGUUAAUAUAUUCCAUGGCGCUUUGCCAUAAAUUUGAUAUCUCAUUUGUUGUUAAUAAUCCAGUAUUACUUGGUUUGAGCAUUGAGAAUAGGCUUAAGCCACUGCUAAGGGUUUUGGAGGUUUUAGAUAGGAGGAAUUUGCUUCUUAAAAAGCCGAGUUUGACGAAUGUAUGCAUGAUACCUGAGAAGAAGUUUUUUGAGAAAUAUAUACUCCCUUAUUCAAAUGAAGUUGGUGAAUUAUUUGUGGUUAAGAAGAAUUCAUUGGCAGCAGAAAUAUGUGCUUAAGAUCAUGACAUUCUUUGUGCUCAAGACUCAGACUAAAUCUUUUUCCGGAAAAGCAAAUGGCUUGGCGGCAUAGUAUGGCAGGUAAGUAGGGACUCUUUAGCGCUAGAUAUUCACAUCUUUUUCUUGUAUCCAUAUGGUGUACUACUCUGAAAAACAGGGAUUAAUUUUUGUUUACUAGGCUUGGCUUGUUGGCUGUUCUGUUUUCUAA